This 72-nucleotide transfer RNA is filed under the name Candidatus Woesebacteria bacterium RIFOXYA1_FULL_38_9. Its description in RNAcentral is "tRNA-Lys". It matches the Rfam family "tRNA". From Rfam's summary of the family: Transfer RNA (tRNA) molecules are approximately 80 nucleotides in length. RNAcentral also lists the same sequence under 1 other name. Lineage: Bacteria; Candidatus Woeseibacteriota. The record is from RNAcentral.
GGGCUGUUAGCUCAAUGGUAGAGCAACCGGCUCUUAACCGGUAGGUUACAGGUUCGAGCCCUGUACAGCCCA